Molecule: ribosomal RNA, 403 nt
Filed under: uncultured bacterium
Lineage: Bacteria
Description: partial 16S ribosomal RNA
Rfam family: Bacterial small subunit ribosomal RNA
Source: RNAcentral
CCUACGGGUGGCAGCAGUGGGGAAUAUUGCGCAAUGGUCGAAAGCCUGACGCAGCGACGCCGCGUGAAGGAUGAAGGCCCUCGGGUCGUUAAGCUCCUUCUACAGGGGAGCAAUUGCAUCUAAGUAAGCGCUUAUGUAUUGACGGUACCUGCAAAGGAAGCACCGGCUAACUCCGUGCCAGCAGCCGCGGGAAUACGGAGGGGGCGAGCGUUGUUCGGAGUGGAUGGGAGUAAAGCGCACGUGGACGGUAUUGUAAGUCAUGAGUCAAAGACUCGCGCUCAAAUUUAGUAGUGCCGGUGAAACUGAAAUACUGGAGUGUGAGAGAGGAAUGCGGAAUGCCUGGUGUAGCGGUGAAAUGCGUAGAUAUCAGGAGGAACACCGGUUGCGAAGGCGGCAAUCUGGC